Molecule: long non-coding RNA, 2438 nt
Organism: Sciurus carolinensis (gray squirrel)
Lineage: Eukaryota; Metazoa; Chordata; Mammalia; Rodentia; Sciuridae
Exons: 4
Source: RefSeq, a predicted model, not a curated record
UUUUCUUUUUUGCUGGAGAGCAUUUUCAUGAAGCACAAUCACAGAGGAACAGAAUGUCCUGAUGUUUGGCUGUUUCAGAUAUAAAUAAGGAUGCUCAGAGAGGAGCCGCUCAUACACCUAAAAAGUGGCAGAGAAGUCACUGGAGCCAAGAUUAUUCUGUUGAUUUCCAAUUAAUCUUCUACUAGAAGAUAUUCUCUGAUGUUCCUUAUCAUGAAAAAGUUGCUUAGAAGCGCAACCCCAUCCUGGCUACCCACAAGUGUUGAGGAACAAUGACCUCUUGGCUGAGGGCCCUGAAUCCAGGCCAACCCCACAAGCUUUACAUGCAUUGAGGCUAAUGGAGCUUUUAUUCCAAUGAGUUGGGCCCCAACCCACCUUUGUGGAGAGAGGAAUAUUAAAAAAAAAGAAGAAGAAGAAGAAAGAAAUACUUAAUGUUCGUGUAGCAGAUGAAAAAUUUCACAAGAUAAAUUAAAGUGUUUUCUGGCUGAAUGGAGAAACCGGGGCAGGAUGGUGGAGAUAAUUUUCCCAGGACUCAAAAUGAUUUAUCUUAUCUCUGCAUUCUUUAGACAAGAGGUUCCAUUUAUUUAGUCAUUUAUUUUAUUAGUUUUCUGAAGACAUCCCCCCUCCCACCCCUGCUGUCGACACAAAGGCACAGCAUUUGGCCCAAGGAGCACAGGUCUGGGAAAGGAGACAGGGAUCCUUGGGUCUAGCCUGUCAUUCACUCAGUCCUUGUGCCAGGCACUGGCCAUGUGCUGGAGAGGGGACUGUGCUGGAAUGGGCAUGGUUCCUGUCCUCGUGAACUGCAGUCUAAUGGGAGAUACAGACUCAUAAGUGAAAGAACAGGAUUCUGUGAUGAACACCGUGCAAUCUCUGCCACCCACACACUCCAGUAAUGGGCUAUGAUGGGGCCUCACAAAAUCAUCUAGCCCAGCAGUUCUCAAUAGGGGUGAUUUUUGUCCACCAGGAACAUUUUGCAAUGUCUGGAGACAUUUUUGGUUGUCAGAACUCAGGGGAGAGGGGUGGAGGUUACAGGCAUCUAGAGGGUAGAAGCCAGGAUACUGCUCAAUAUCCUACAAAGUAAGAAUUAUCCAGCAGCCCCAAAUGUCAAUAAUGCCAGAUUUGACAAACUCUCCUCUCGUUUGUCCUCCUGCCUCUGGAGAGUUCUGUGCUUAAGUUAUCCUGAAAGCCAUCUCAAAUCUCCCUGCUUGAUGCUGCUGGGCUCUGUUCAGGAGCUCUUCUGUGGGAUCACACAGGGUAUUUCCUUCUGCUCUCCUCUCUUAACUGGAGAUAGAGCUGUGUUAUAAAAGUAGCAUUAAUGAAAAAAUUGUGUGAAAACAAUUGGUGGUAGAAAAACCUUCAGGACAGCAUCUCAAAUUGGGAUAUGGAGUGGAUAAAAAACUAGGAUGGUGCCAGGCUGCCUCACAUUUCCUUUCUUCUGGAACUUUCUGCCACACACAAAUCUCACUUGCAGAGUUCUUGGCAGUGGAAAUAAUCUGGGACUAGGUUGAGUCCUUAAAUAGUUUCCCUUUUGCAUGCCCCGACCAUUAUCCUGAAUGUUUGUAAAAGAUUCUGCCAAGGCUUUUUUCUUUGGAUAUUCAUGUAACUGUAUGUUACGUACCAUGGAGUUAUUUUUGAGCAAUUAAGGUUCCCCAUGCCAGGUUUUCUCAUCAGCUACCAAAGUCAUAAAGAGGGGGCCUUGUGUCUGGCUUUCCCAGGGAAGCAGAUGGCACUUUGGGUACUGGCAGGAGACAGGUGUGAAGUUUCAGGGGCCGGAGGGCUUGUCUGGCAUACUAUGCAAAUUUGGCUUCAUUUUGCAUCCCUCCGAGGAGCUACGACCAAAUGGAGUCUGCUUUUAUAUCUCUGUCAUGUGUGUGUGUGUGUGUGUGUGUGCGCGCGUGUGUGUGUGUGUAUGUGAGAGAGAGAGAGAGAGAGAGAGAGAGAGAGAGAGAUUGAUUGUGAUGGAGGCAUAUGAACAUGCAUUGGGAUGUUUGAUAUGGACUAUGCCUUUUGCAGGUAAAAAUGAAGCAAUUCUUAGGUGGCAAGGAAAACUUAUUUUAUCCUGGUCUAAACUAUACAAAAAAAGAGAUAGUUAAAUCCCCAAGAGUAAGCUCUCUGGGACGACAGUGUGUAACUCUCUCCUUGACUUGAGGAGCAUCUGUGUGUACUUCUUGCCUUCAGGAUACUGAGACCUCUAAGUCACUAACUUAGCAGGAAAGAGUCACCAAGGGGCUCAACCAAGGAGUGCUGAUGAUGAUCUUAUUCUUGGAUCACAGGUUAGCAAUAGUUGCAAUUAGUGAUUUGUGUUAAUUAGCCUGUUCUAGAUUAUAUGUACCGUGUUUCUCUUUAGAAAGGGCAUUAUAUGAGGAUGACCAUAAGCCAAAGAUUUUUCAGGAACAAUCCCAGUUUUAAAUGCCUUUUCCUUAUAUCUCCCAAAGUACUUG